RNAcentral lists this ribosomal RNA (485 nucleotides) under uncultured bacterium. RNAcentral describes it as "bacterial SSU rRNA". It matches the Rfam family "Bacterial small subunit ribosomal RNA", at positions 30 to 505 of the family's 1533-position model. The record is from RNAcentral.
AUUGAACGCUGGCGGCAUGCUUUACACAUGCAAGUCGAACGGCAGCACGGGUGCUUGCACCUGGUGGCGAGUGGCGAACGGGUGAGUAAUGCAUCGGAACGUGCCCAUGAGUGGGGGAUAGCCCGGCGAAAGCCGGAUUAAUACCGCAUACGCCCUUAGGGGGAAAGCGGGGGAUCUUCGGACCUCGCGCUAUUGGAGCGGCCGAUGUCGGAUUAGCUAGUAGGUGAGGUAAAGGCUCACCUAGGCGACGAUCCGUAGCUGGUCUGAGAGGAUGAUCAGCCACACUGGGACUGAGACACGGCCCAGACUCCUACGGGAGGCAGCAGUGGGGAAUAUUGGACAAUGGGCGAAAGCCUGAUCCAGCAAUGCCGCGUGUGUGAAGAAGGCCUGAGGGUUGUAAAGCACUUUCAAUCGUGAAGAAAAGUACACAGGCUAAUACCCUGUGACCUUGACGUUAACGAUACAAGAAGCACCGGCUAACUCCG